Molecule: long non-coding RNA, 8677 nt
Filed under: Heterocephalus glaber (naked mole-rat)
Lineage: Eukaryota; Metazoa; Chordata; Mammalia; Rodentia; Bathyergidae
Description: lncRNA (ENSHGLG00100049668.1)
Source: RNAcentral
ACCCGCAGUGCCGCCCGCCCGCCUUCCAGGCUCGCGGCGGCCGGGCUCUCACUUCCUCUGCCUCUGCCCGCCUCCCCGGCUCGCCGGCUGGCGUCGCCACCGCCUCCUCGUCCCCGGCCACCGCUGUCGCCUCCGCUGCUGCAAUCCAGGGCGCACGCUCUCGCACUUUCCGCUGGCGGCGCGGAGGAUGCCCCCUGUAGCAGUCGGGGAGAAAUAGCCUCCCGGCCGGGCUGGACCACCCUUGGUGGCGAGGAAGGAAAUCCGGGCUCCGCUUCCCUUGAUGGCACUGCAGCAGCUGGCAGCCGGGACGGCGCCCACGAAACGGGCGCGCCAAGCUGGGCGCGGGAGGCGCAGAGAGGGACCCCGGGAGCAGGCUGAGCUCCGCUGCCGGAGUUCGCAAGUGGCUGGGACUCCGCAGGUGACUCUGUCCAGACCUGGGGCCCUCCAGGGAUGUUGCUGAAGGAUUCUGAAGUCAGGUAGACCUGCAUAGCUGAGUGCCCGGCACUGAGCACAUGGCCUUCCCUAUCAGUAUCAUUCAUUCAUUAAGCAUCGCUGAUGCACAGGCUGUUUGUUCAGCUCUCACUGUGUGCCAUUUUGGCUGCCUGAUGCAUCCCAGCUCGUAUACCUUCCAGUGACCAAGAGGAAGGAUAGCUACCCCCUUGUAGAGGCAGGAAAACUGAGAAUUCAAGAGAGGCUGAAUGGAGCCCCAAGGACAUGAAUUUAAUAAGUUGUCUGAGCCUAGGCACAUCUAACUGAUCCCAAAUCUGUGCUCUUUCAAGUCUCUGCUAUCCUUCUCUCUGAGUGUUGUGGGUUGAAUUAUAGUCCCCAUCCCACCAAAGCAGUCCAUGUUCUAAUUCCUGGAGCCUGUGGACGUGGUACCUUCCACAUGUUAAGAGGGACUUUGUUUAAAUGAAGGACUUUGAGAUGAGAAGGUGAUCCUGGAAUAUCCAAAUGAGUUCUAGGUCACUGACAAGAUCCUUAGUAGAAGGAAGCAGGGAGUCAGAAUCAGUCUGAGGAGAUGUGACCAUGGACACAAGAUGUGGAAUGAUGAGAAGAAGGGAUCAGGAACCAAGGAAUGUAGGCAGCUGUUAGAAGCUGAAAAGGCAAAGAAAUGAAUCUCCCGAAAGCCUGAAGCAGGAAUUAGCAUUGUGGAGCUUUGAUUUGAGACUUUUGACCACCAGAACUAUAAUAAAAUAAUAUUUGUAAGCCACCAAGUUUGUGGUAAUUAUAAUAUACUAUACGGAGAAAAAAAUAGGAAAAGAUGCCAGAAGAAUAAAUGAUUGUCCAGAGAAUGAAUGAGUGACACACAGUGAUAUUAACAAUGGCCCGCUUCAUAUCCUAGAGGCUCACAGUGUUCUCCAGGGCCCAGGACCUAUGUGGGAGAGGUUGGCAUUACCAUUAGAAUCUGUAGUCCUUCAUUUAUUUCAGGUUCCUUCAUAUAGUGCUUCAUUCAUUGUUAAAUCCCCAAAUUUUAUUCAUGUUCAUUGUAGUACUUCAUUUAUGUUCACUUGGUGCUCCAUUUACAUUCAUAUAGUACUUCAUUUAUUGUUAAAUCAUAAAUCUUUUCUGGAAGUGGAGUAAUUGAAAAAAUUUUUUAUUGUGAUGUAGCUUACAGACAGCAAAGUUGAAAAAUCAAUGAAUUUUUAUAAGUGCAUUGAACCAUGGAUACAUCCUUAAUGUGAAGAUAUAAAACAUGAUCAUCCAGGCCGGGGAUUUAGCUCAGUGGUUCCGCUGCCUGCCUUGCAAGGGCAAGGUCCUGAGUUCAAUGCCUGGUACCAGAAAAAAAAACAUGCUCACCUUUUAUAACAUUCCUUUGCAUCACUUCGAAUACUUAUACCCCCAUCACUGGAGAGUAAUUUGCCUGACCUUGAACUUCAUGUGAAUGGAACCAUGCUUUACCUUUGCUUUGGUGCUUGGCUUCCUUUGCUUGGUGUUUGUGAGAUGUACCUACGCUGUUGCAUGUAUCAGUCCUGCCUUUUCAAAUUGAUUUAUACCCAUGCUCUUUUUGAAUUUUAAUUUAUUUUUUGGUGGUUCUGGGAAUUGAACUCAGGGCCUUUGCACUAAUCUACACCCUUAUCCGUAUAUUCUUUUUUUUUUUUGAGGCAGCAUCCCACUAAGUCUCUAAAUUACCCAAGUUGAGGUCCAUCUUGCAGUCCUCCUGCCUCCAGUUCCCAGAGUGAUGGAUUUAACCAUGCCCAGCACCCACUCUCCUUCUUAAGGACAUGUGGCCAGCUUCUCCCUCUUUGAGAUCCUAAUGAAUAGAGCUACUAGGAGCAUUCUGGUUCAAGUCUUGGGGUAGAUAUGUGUUCUCAUUUCUAUCAGAUACACACCUGGGAGUGGAAUUACAGGUUCAUAAGGUAAGUGGAUUUGGCUUUUGUGGACAAGCCCAAUUUUCCAGCCUGGUCCUAAAUCUAGGAAGGUCAUCCUCGCCCACAUCAGUCUUCUUUCCGAAUGACCCAUCUUCCGUCCUGCGCUGCACUACUGACCACAUUUGGGAGACAAGGAGGCCAGGGGGUCCCUCAUAUCUUGGUCCAGGAGAGCCUUCUCUGAGCUGGCGGUUUCUGUAGAGAUGGGAUUUUGGAGAGGGUAGAGAAGGAAGGGGGACACAUUCUUUCUGUGUUUGACCUUCCAUUUCAAAGUUGAUGAGGUAGAAGUUUGGGUUUCAGCUGAAUGUGGGGUGAAGAUACCUUCCAAACCUAAGUCAUCAGCUUACCACUUCCAUGAUUUUCCCCACAUUUGCUUAUUUUUCUUGGAAUUGAUUUACUUUUUUGCUGAAAAUUGCUUAUUGGGGAGGUUAACUUACCUGCAAAUAUGAAAUCAAUAUGCCUUUCCCUAAGUAGGGCUUAAUCACGAUAAACACUCAAAGUCCCAACAAGGAAGAUUGAUCCCAGCCACAUGCCCUUCCUUGCCUGGGGCACUGAUCCCUAGGUCUGUGUCUUGAACACAUUAGCCAGCCUUAGGGAGGUGUUAAAGGUCUAUCAGUCCCAAAUUGAGACACCGCUUGAUGUAAUCAGAGAGACUGAAAGACAUUUAAAAGCAAGUAAUUUUUCGCUUUGAGAUGGGAGAUUAUUUAAUGCUGUAAUCAUCUUUUAUGCCAAGAGGGCAUCUGUACUCUGGGCAACACUGGUGUAUUAAAAAAAUCUUCUGACUGGGUAUCAGAUCUUUUCUUGAAUGAUCUACUAGCUCUGCAAUAUUGGAUCAGUGACCUCACCUUUCUGAGCUUCAACUUCCUGAUUUGUAUAGUGAAAUUGUCAUAGCACCUGUUUCUGAGGCCUAUGAGACAGCCAAGAGAUAAUUGCUUUUGAUGGGUUUGUGAAUGGGUCAUCUGAUGAACCCUGUAUCUAAAGACUGAAGUGGACAUGGGAAUGAACACACAGGACAUUAUGCUUCUGCUAGGGCUCCUCUCCCUAGGCAGAGUCAUCUACCCUCCUGGGGAGUGUUUAUUACUUUGGGAUCCUGCCAAGGUUAAGUGCAGAAAAUGGCCCUGGUUUAUCAUUUGCUCAAAGGCUGGGACAUUUAAUCAGAGCCUCUGGAGGGUAAGCAGGAGGUUCCCAGUACACCUGCUCCUGGGCUGCAGUGAUGAGUUGGAAGAGGCAGAUUCUCUAACAGACCCAUCUGGGUCCUAGCCUUGUUCCAGUGUCUGCCUACUGUGUGUCCGGAGCACACCACUUCUCUUUAGGACUCAGUUUGCUCAUGUGUAAAUGGGAAUAUUCACUCCUACCUCAUUAGAUGGUAAGGAAGAUAGCACGAGAUGAUGCACAAAACACAACAGCAGGGUAUUUAACAGACAAACAUAGCUAUUACCAUUGGGGGGAAGUCAGGGACUGUAUUUAAAUACUCUGAAGAGCUGAAUGCCCCUCUUGAACUCAUGAUCAUCCUAAAUCUUCCUCUCAGAAUGUCUCUCUCCCACUUGCCCCCCAGACUCCAUUCCCUUCUUGCCUGUGCACCCCCCACAGGCCAGGCCAUGUUUGUUCACAAGCCUGGGUAGGUGUUCUGUGGCAGCUCUGACUCAGGUAAAACUUUUUAGGCUGAAAGUAUCUGAAACACAACUCAAAUGGGCUUUCGAAAAGAGAAUAAUUUGUUUUGCUCACAGACACCAAAAUCCACGUGUCUUGCUUAAGGUGUGACGUGAUCUAGGCUCAGACAAACCCAUUGGAUAUUAGUUUCUCUGCAUUUCUAGCUUCCCCUAGGCUUCAGCUGCCCUAAUGGUAGUAAGAUGACCCCAGGAGCCCAACCUCACCUCUCCCUGAUGUCCAAAUCCGUAAGAAACAGGAAUCUCUCUCUCCCAGCCAAAUUGAUUCUGAUCAGAUUGUCUACCUACUCCUAGAUGAGUGAGGUAGGUGGCCCAUACUGAUUGGCUUAGGCCAAGCAGGACCUCUUUUUGGAACUGAAUAUGGGGUCAACCCUACUGAACCCCAUUGGUUUGAGGAGAUGUUGAUUCUGCAGUGUAUCAGUGUUGGAAGAUGGAGGUAAUGGGGAAAGGAUGUUGGGGCUGUGGUCAACUAAUGUUCCCAUAUCUUUCUCAGCCAAAGCAAUAAGAGAUUUCCCAUUAGAAACCCAGCAGUGCAACAGGAUUGAAAGAGAGUAUGCAUUUCUCUCUCUCAAGUCCAUGCACAUGUAUACACCACACACACACACAAAUACACACACACACCCCUCAUUCCCAGUGCCAUGUUGCCUGAAAAUAACAAGAUUGAAGGCACAGUGAUGAGUGGGGCCAUAUCACAUGGCACUAAUUUUUUCUGGCAUCUGUAGCAAUUUCAGGCUCCCAGUUGAGGCCUGAUUUGGCUUAGCUGGUUGGAGUGCUAGGCUCCUGAGGUCAAGGAUAGAAAAAGGAGCAGAGCCCUGGGCCUGGAGGCAGAACCCCUGGAUCCUGAGCACACUGUGUCACUGAGCUAGAGCCCUUGGACAAGGCGCUUUCCUCCCUGGGCCACUGUCUCUGUGUUGCUCCCAAAUCCCCACCCUCCUGCCCCAACUCCUCCGUUAGGUCACCCUUCCCAUCUCUGAGGCCUCAGCCUGACUCUCCAUCCCCAAACGGCAUGUGGUACCCCUGCGAGUGCUUCUGCAGCCACAGACUUUAGAGUUUAAAUCCAAGCUUUCUGAUGUACACCCUGAGUGUCUUUGGCCCAGUUUAUUGACCUCAGGCCUCAGUUUCCUCAUCUAUCAAAUGGAAAUAAUGCCACCAGUACCUAUUUUGUGGAUGAUUGCAAUAACUAUGCUGGAUGAUUUCUGUAUGUAUUUAACUCAGGCCUGGGCUCAGUAAAUGCUAGCUGGAAAAUGAUUCUGAGUCCAGGUGAAAUCCCAAGCCAGUGAAAUCAACCUUUCCCUCUCUCACUGUGUAAGAUAUAUGGGGCUAGGGGUUUGUAUCAUUCUCUUCUACACCUCAAUAUCUAGCCUUGUGCCUGGCACGUAGCAGGUACUCAAUAAAAACUGUUGAAUAAAUGUCCCAGUUCAGAGUAUUCUAAGGCAUCCCCAGCUCUGUUCAUAGCAUGGAACUGCAUAAGUAGGUUGGCCGCAGGCCUCGUCAGGAAGAUCAAAUCUGAAAGGCCACUGUGAACUGUAAGGAGGAGGCUUCCUGUGUAGUAGAUUUCAGUGGCACUAAAUUCUCUCCUCUUCUUUGAAAUCCUAUUCUCUGCUCUCUCUAGUUCCACCCACCCAGAGUCUUGGGGAAUACCCAUGCUUCAAUCCAUUCCCACUGCCCGCCUCUGGCUUUAAAGAACUUGUUAGACGUGCAGCAAGUUGGAGCAAGACAUGGCCAGGGGUGGAGGGGGGGAAGAAGUCAUGAAAGUGGCUCCUCCACGGUGGAGAAGACAGGUAGCUGAAGAGCACAUUUGUGGUUUGCCCAGAGCUUGGCUUACAGAGACUGUGGACUUGCAGUAUUGGUAGAAUUGCCCUCUGUGGGAGCAGACCUAAGCAUGAUUACUCUCCUUGACAACCUCCCCAAGGGGUGGCCAAGAAGUGGAAGCUGGAGGCUGUACCCGCUCAGUCUCCUUGAGCUGGGAGCCUCCUCAGAACCUACAGCAGGCAGCUUGUUUCUCUUCCCCAAAGGCACUCUUGAAGCUGUGGACUGGCAGCUUUCUCUGGCCAACCAAAAUAUCCCAGGUGUACGUGUGUGUGUGGGAUAUCUGUUUUCCAAAUGGAAGCUGUCUUCCAGCCUUGCCUUUAUUUGUGUGUGUUAUUGGUUUGACUCAAUACAGUUUAUUGCUAAGUCAAGCUCCUCUGUACACAACAUUAUGCUUUGUACUCUCUAUACACACUGGGAGGUAGAAAAUAAGGAUGACAAUGAUAAUAACAUCAAUGAUGAUGGCAAAGGCAGUGCCCAGGCAUCAUGAUGAGAAUGAUGUCAAUGUCAGUGAUGAUGAUUUUGCUGAUGAUGACAUGUUGAUAAUAUAACAAAAAUCUACUGCCCUGCCAUCUUCAAAGUGCUUUAUUUAUUUAAUCCUCACAACCACCCAUUGAGAAAGGAACCCCGGUUAUUAAAUCCAUCACUUGCCAGUUAUGUGAUGCUGGGCAGUUGCUUUGUUUCACAGAGCCUCGACAUUCCUAUCUAUAAAUUGGGGAUAAAAGUAGCCAUUCUGGGUAACAUGCUUACCUGAUGUCUGAUGUGAUACUUAUAGCUCUAGCUUUGACCCUCCUGCCAACCCGUGGAAAAGACCUUGAUUUUACAAAAUAGCAGGCAAGUGUUCCCAGCUGGGAAUGGCUGAGUUGGGGUUCAAAGGCAGCCAAGGACUCACAGUCCUAUUGCCUUGCAGCACUUGUUGUGGGCAUCUCUGCAGAGAUAUUUCUGACCCACAUGAUCCACGUGGGCUACAGAGCCAGCUGGCCUGGGUCAGCCUCCAGCAAAGCCCUUGACCGAAGUAGCCUGGAGCCACCCUCAGCCAGGGCUUGGCUAUGGUGGCAGAAGGCUGGUGCUCUUGGGCUGGUGAACUGGUCACCUGAAACCUGGAAGAGUCUGGGAGGCAGAGACACAAGUCAAAGCCAAAGAAUCACAGCCAUAGUGUUUCUUAUUUUGGAGUCAAAAGAAUCUAGAUAUCUUUUUCCAGCCCUGCAAAUCUACAAAUAGGAGCCCUUGCUUACCAUGCACAAAAUUUGAUCCCCAGCACUGGAAAAAAAAAAUCCACAAGCAAGCAUCCAUAUCUCUAGGACCAAUCUAUCCGCUCUGGUGGCCAAUGGCCAUGUGUGGCAGCUGUGCACCUGAAAUGUGGCCAGGCUGAAUUGAAGUGUGCUGUAAGUGUGACAUACACACCAGAUUUUAAAGUCUUGGUAAGAAAAGGAAUUCAAACUUGUGAUUCUGCUAUCUCAGCCUCCCAGAGUGCUGGGCUUACAGAUGUGUGCCCCUGCGCCUGUCUACUUCUGCUGCUUUAAGCCACUUAAUUUGUAGUUUACUGUAGUUUGUUAUGGCAUCCCGGGACACUAAUUCACAAGGUGCUAUGGUCUGAAUACUAAUGCACCCUAAAGUUCACAUGCUCAUGUCCUCAUGCCCAGUGUGAUGGCAUUUGCAGCUAGGGGCAUUGGAAGGGAGGUGGUCAUGGAGGCAGACGUGCUCUGCAUGGGAUUCAUGUGCUGGCGAAAAGGGACAGGAAAGAGCUUGGUCCAUUUCCCAGGUGGAGCAGUGAGAAGAUAUCCUUCUGCAAGCUAAGAACCAGCACCUCACCAGUUAUAAGAUCUGGCGGCACUUUGACCGUGGACUUCACAGAUCUUUGACUUGUAAGGAAGAAGCGUUUGUUGUCUGUUGUAUUUGUUACAGAAGCUGAGUGGCUGUGACACCAGGCAUGGUGCUCUUGCUGUUGUCGCCUCACUGUAGGAAUCCCAGCUUAUCCCGGGGAGCUUGGAGAUGUGCCCUUCUCCUGUCCCCAGCCCAGACAUCCCAGCAGCUGGUAGCAGCUGCUGAGUGUCUAAGUAGCCCUCAGAACCUGAGCCGUGCACAAGGUACUGUGGUCAGCAGCCCAAUCCCUUCUGUCCAUGCAGUGUGAGUUCCUGCAAAUGACUGUUUUCAGGAGAAAAGCAGCUCCAGAGAGCUCUCAGCCACUCUGCAGGAGACACAGAUGCUCUUGAGUUAAUGAGAAGCAGAACCUCCUAUGGCUCAUGGCUGGGGGCCCCUGUGCCCCUGUCCUGGUUCUGUCCCUGGUCAGGGCUGGGCAGGUCAAUGUUGCCUUUCCAUAGUGAGAGGCUGUGGGCAGCCACUGAUCAGAGGCCAGGCCAAAGGCCCUGGGGGUGCAGGGUGGAUGAUCUAGAGGUUGAGUGAAGACACAUCCAGGGAUGCUGAAUUCAGUUAUGCAGUCUACAAAGAUCUGGCAUCCUUUGGACUCCUUGAGUGAAGGCCUGAGUGAGCUCUUGUCUCCUGGUGUCCUGUCACUGCAGCACACACAGGGGAUCUUUAUUUGGUCCCAGUGGAGGAGGGCAGGAGACCAAAGAAGACCAGCUCAGGGGUCAGAGUGUGUGUGUGUGUGUGUGUGUGUGUGUGUGUGUGUGUGUGUGUGUGUGUAUCGGGGCUGUCUGCAACUUGAACACCCUUGCCUUGCUGAGGGAUUCAGCAUAAACUCACUCUAGCUCUGGUUUCCAGGUUAGCUUGGGCUAUUCUCCUCAACACUUCUCAUGAGUCUUCACCCAGCUUUCACUUAUUUAUUUUUUAAAUAUUUAUUUACUUAUUUGCCAUCCUGGGAGUUGAACCAAGGGC